CAAUGGAGUUCUUUUAAUGACCUACAUCUUUCCAUAAGCCUAUAAAGAACACUUUAAUCAAAUUAUUUUUGUUUCUAGAAAUUGUUCCUUCUGAGAUUUGCUUUUGUCAUUAUUAUAGAUUCCUACUAAUGCAAGCUAAAUUAUUUGAAGGUCACAAUCUUUAACGGCAGUUUUUUAAAAAUGUUCCGAUAAAAUUGAUUUUAAAAGUGCCACUCUAACCUGGUAGGUUGCAUUUUCACAUCCAACUUCUCACCCCAUUUACACAUACACACACACACACAUCUUUGAGAAUGGGCCUAGAGUCUUCAUAAUGUUCUACAAACAUUAUAUGGUUUAUGUUUAAUUUUUUUCUCUUAAAAAUUCCUUCCAGUGGUAAUAUAAAUACAAAUUUACCAAUGUAUGGGAGAAUUGUUUCCCUCUGAUUUACCUUUAAAUGGCAAUGUCCAUGACCACUGCUCACCUGGCUAAAUCAAAUCUGUUGGUUGAAACUAUGUACAUUUUAUUUUCCUGAAGAGAAUGUUAAUAUUCCUCACUUCCUUCAGUGGAUAUUUCAUUAAGAGAGGAGAGAAGAUAUGCUGGAGACUCAAAAAUAACAUUAAUUAUAAAUAAUUAAGUCUCUGAUAAGUUAUUUUGCUCAUAUUUUUUUGAAGCAAAGAAUACUUAUUAGGAACCCUUAACAAUGUGAAUACUCAAAACUGCAGUGUAAAACCUGUGUAUAUCAUUCACACCACAUUUGGAAAAAUCCAUACUUUAAAAAAUUCUCAAAAUAUUUAAUUGUUAAAGAAAGAAGUAAUUUGAUAAAUAUAUGUCAAUACUAUUGCUUUGUACUGGCCUAAAAUAUGCUUCAUUGUGGUUUGAUCUAUUUUUCUUUUUUAAUUUUUUUUGGUCUUUUUGUCUUUUCUAGAGCUGCUCCUGCGGCAUAUGGAGGUUCCCAGGCUAGGAGUCCAAUUGGAGCUGUAGCCACCAGCCUACGCCAGAGCCACAGCAACAUGGGAUCCGAGCCGAGUCUGCGACCUACACCACAGCUCAUGGCAACACCGGAUCCUUAACCCACUGGGUAAGGUCAGGGAUCGAACCUGCAACCUCAUGGCUUCUAGUCAGAUUUGUCAACCACUGCACCGUGACAGGAACUCCCGGUUUGAUCUGCUUUUAUGCCAUGGCCACCACCAAUCUAAACACUACCUUUAUGGAAAUUGAUAAAUGAGCCACUACCAUGUAGAGACACAGUGCCUUGGAGACAAGACUUCAUAAGCUGAGUACUAGCUGGAAAUUAAUCCCCAUUUGCCUUCUUAGCUAGAGGCCCUUAUGCAGGGCACAACCUGUGCAACUGCACAUGAGAGCCCUGUCCUUUGGAUACAGAUCCUCUUCCACAUGACAGUCCAUGCUAAGUAUCACAGUCAUGGUGCCUUUCAUGUCUGACUUCCCUCUUUCCAUUGACCUCCUACUCUGUGAGCCUCAACACAGAGCUGGCUAUAGAUUAAACAAGGAAGUAAGGACCUGAUCCAAACACAUCUCAUCUAGAGGCUGGCUGGCAACUCUAGAAAGUAACCAGAGAUGCAGUACUGUGUCUCAAAUCAGCAGUAAUUAUUACCUAAACUAAUCAGACCAGCUCCCUCAAAAGCAGUGGAAAUUACUGGCAGGAACAAAUGUCCACAGAGGUGCAGAGAUAAACCAUCCCUGCACAAUUCUUGAGGGAGAAGCCAGGCUUCCGAGGGCUAAUGAUUUUCUAACUGAAGUCCCUAAAUAGCAACUCCCAUUUGUCUUAAAGCUAUCUGAGUUUAGCGCCAGCCAAAAAAGCCCACCAAGUGCACAGUCCUUCUCACUCUUGAAGAUAGCUAUCAUCUGCUUCAGGAGUCAUACAUUCUUUACAUUCAAAGUUUUUUGUGUCUUCAAUCCCUAAUUGUACAUCAAGAUUUUACUGUUUCUUCAUCAUUUUGCCUAUUUGACUCUGAACACUUCUUAGAGUUCCUAUUAAAGAGGGUACUAAUGAUAGAACGCUAUGCUCUAUGUAAAAUGAAACCAAAUCAUAGUAGAACAAAGCCAUCACCUCCUUCAAUAACUCUAAGUUAUGCUAAUGCAGCAAAGAAUUUAAGUAUAGAAGAAUGCGCAUUCAAGCUAUAAUUAUAAACAAUUGUGCUGUCUUUGGUGAUUCACAAGGUCUUAGAAGUUCUCCAAAUAUCCUAGGGGCAACAUAGGAACAAUUAUCUUUUUUCAUCUCUGAAUAGGUAGCAAAUUUUGGUUUAACCACAUCACUAUAUACUGCAGAAAUAUUAGGAUGUCAUUUAGCUUCAUAUUUCUUUGUUAUUUAUCUCAAUCAUUAUUAGUGGACUUCAAGGAAAAUAAAAACAUGGUUGUAGAAUUCCCUUUGUGGCACAGUGGAAACGAAUCCAAUUGUGCAAGUUCGAUCCCUGGCCUCACUUAGUGGGUUAAGGAUCCGGCGUUGCGGUAAGCUGUGUUGUAGAUUGCAGAUGAGGAUCAGAUCUGGCGUUGCUGUGGCUGUGGUAUAGGCCGGCGGCCGUAGCUCCGAUUAGACCCCUAGCCUGGGAACCUCCACAUGCCGCAAUUGCGACCCUAAAAAAGACAGAAGAGAAAAAAAAAGAAAAAAAAAAACAUGGGUGAGACUCUGUUUUUUUGCGUUGAAUAAUUUAAUUAACAUAUUUGGCUGAGCCCUGUAUACUCAAAACUAUGGCAUGUAAUGUAAAAGUUGAGAAAGAAUCAAAUAUGAGGUCCUUGCACGCAUGCGAUAACCCAUCUGGUGUAGAGAGAUACUAUCUAUCACUCAUGAGAUGAGUUGCAGAAGCAUUACAGAACAGCCUUAGCAAAGAGCCCUCUAUGCUGAGUGAUUCAGGUUUCCCAAGCAGAGAGUGGGGAAGAGUCGUGCAAAACUCCUUUAAGUUACAUUCACUCAAUUAUUCAAACUGCCAUUUUUUUCUCAUGAUGUGAAUACAGUUUGACUAUUUCAAUAAAAGUUGUGGAGAAUAAUAAGGACUUUUUGUACAAAAUGCCAGACGAAGCACAGGAAAUGAGCUUCUAUUCCAUAUUAUUCUCAUUUUGACUAUGAUUCACUCACAUCUUCUAUAGGACAUAUGCCUGACAGAUCUUUAGGCUUGAAAAGCAAAAUGAGACCAGUACCUGGGGAUUGUGCUUUUCAAGCUUACACAGCAGGAUGUGAAGAAAAGAGGUCAGGAUUUGUGCUAAAGGAACUGCAAAGAAUUACAUAUUUGUCAGAAAAUGAGACACAGUUACAUUUAAGGAAAAGUUGACCUAAAAUUGCUGACCAUUUUAUUGUCUGAUAGUGGAGCUUUUGCUUCAGUCUAAGCACUCAGACUUUUAUUCUUAUCACAGAUAUCCAAAAGCUCUUCUUUUUUUUGAACAAAUUGGCUAUUCAUGUGGAUGGCAUUUUCUUAAUCAGUCUCUUGAUGCCAUGCCUGUGUAACUGGUCUUCCCACCUCUGUUUUCUUCCAUCUGAAAUCUACCCUUCAUUCCAAUCCUGACGAGAUCUAUCAUUAAUAUAACUUUAAAAGGUGAUUUUCAAAGUUUUAAAACUAAAACUCCUAAUAAGAAAAAAAUUUUGCAUUAUGACAAAAUAUACAGGAGAUCGCUUACACACAAAUUAAUAAAAUUUUACAAAAAAGCACCCUUAUCUCCCAUGUAUUCAUAUUUUCCUUUCCCUUUCAUUCUGUUUCAUUUUAGUGGAAUUAACUAAAAUACUUAACUAGUGAUUUGAGUCACUAAAUCAAUAUCAUGAUCCUUCAAAGUGUGGUUCCUAAAAUGUGGUCCAGGGACCUCUUGGUAUACCUAUGACAAUUUAAGGAGAUCAACUAUGUUGACAUUAUUUUAGGAGUUCCUGUUGUGGAUCAGCAGGUUAAGCGCCCAACAUAGGGUCCGUGAAGAUGUGGGUUCAAUCCCUGACCUUGCUCAGUGGUUUAAGGAUCUGGCAUUGCCACAAGGUUUGGCAUACGUCAUAGAUGCAGUUCAGAUGCGGUGUUGCUGUGGCUGUGGCAUAGCCCUGCAGUGGAAGCUCCAAUUGAAACUCUGGCCUGGGAACUUCCAAAUGCCAUGGGUGCACCAUAAAAAGGAAAAAAAUAAAAUAAAAUAAAAAUAAUACUAAAAAAAUUAAAAACACUAAAAAAUAAAAAAUAAAAUAAAAAAUAAAAUACUAAAAUAUCACUUCCCUUAUUCACUUCUCAUUCUCUGAUGACUGUAUAGAAUUUUCCAGAAGUUACAUGAUAUGGUAAUGCCAUUACCCUGACAGCUAAUGGAAGGGAGGCUUAUACAGUCUUAUUUAUUUUUUUUUUUAAUUUAUUUAUUUUUUGUCUUUUGUCUUUUCUUGUUGUUAUUUCUUGGGCCGCUCCCGCGGCAUAUGGAGCAGCCCAAAAAAAUAGCAAAAAGACAAAAAAAAAAAAAGAACAAGAUGGGCUUAAGCCAGAUUAAAUUUGGUGUGUAUGUAUGUAUGUACAUUUGUAUUACAUACAUAUUUAUUUUUCACGUAUUUAAUUAGUGUCAAAGGUAGCAGUGAUGGUAGAAAGGAACCCUGGAAUAAAAAGCAGAAAACUUGAGUUCACAUCCCAGAUAUGCAUUUACCUGUCUUCAGGCUUUCAUCAAAUCAACAGCCUCAGGAUUCUAGAGCUAGAAAAUCAAAACCUCAGAAAUC
Molecule: long non-coding RNA, 4654 nt
Filed under: Sus scrofa (pig)
Lineage: Eukaryota; Metazoa; Chordata; Mammalia; Artiodactyla; Suidae
Description: lncRNA (ENSSSCG00005002230.1)
Source: RNAcentral